Long non-coding RNA from Patella vulgata (common limpet), 732 nucleotides. RefSeq lists it as uncharacterized. Lineage: Eukaryota; Metazoa; Mollusca; Gastropoda; Patellidae. The record is from RefSeq and is a predicted model, not a curated record. The transcript is spliced from 4 exons.
UUUGGAGAUGUGACUUAUUAUUUAGGUUAUAAUGCAUUACAAGAUUAUUUUCCAACUAUGAAAUUACGACCUAAUCCACAAUGUGAUGAUAAUUACUGUAUAAAACAACAACAAGCGUUUCAGAUCAAAGAAGCAACUAAACCAAAAGUAGAGAAAACUGAAGACAAAGUAGAAGAAAUAGUUCAUGAUGAUAAUGUCUGGGAAAUACAGCUUGUAUCUGAAACAACAGAAGAUGAAUUAAAAGAAGCUAACGGUCAGGUUCCAAAUUUGGUUGAAGGACUAAAAGUUGCUUAUACAACACCUGCUCCAACACAGGCCUCUCACGAGAAGACCGUAGACAGUACCGAAAAAUCUUUAGAUGAAUUAAUGAAAGAAAUGCAGGGAUUAUAACCCAUGGACUGUUUUAACUGAUUAUGCCAGUAUUUUAACUGAUGAAUUUAACUUUGAAAAUGGUGUUUGUCGUGUCUGAAACUUGGGUUAAUAUGACCAAAUAUGGACAUAUAUUCAUCAACAAUGUUAAAGUUGAUAAUGUUAUUAUCAAUUUAUAAAAUGAACAAUGUCCAAUCUUUGCAUGGAGUAACAACGUGUUAUACCGUAUCUACCAGUAUCUAAAACUGAUAGAGUCGACCUGACAUAAUGUCGCUCUGUCCUUUAUUAUAAUAGAUUUAUUAACCUAUAUCAUUUUCUUCCAAGGACUUUAUUGCGAAUUUUUUAUUUCUGUAUUAUAAUUUA